UGCCAGCAGCCGCGGUAAUACGAAGGUGGCGAAUGUUGCUCGGAUUCACUGGGCGUAAAGCGUCGGUAGGUGGUUAUGUAAGUCAGAGGUGAAAGCCCCGCGCUCAACGUGGGAAUUGCCUUUGAAACUACACAACUAGAAGAUAUGAGAGGAUGGCGGAAUGACUGGUGUAGAGGUAAAAUUCAUAGAUAUCAGUCGGAACACCCAAGGCGAAGGCAGCUAUCUGGCAUAUUCUUGACACUGAGCGACGACAGCGUGGGGAGCAAACAGGAUUANGAUACCCUGGUAGKCCAAGGGC
RNAcentral lists this ribosomal RNA (298 nucleotides) under uncultured bacterium. RNAcentral describes it as "partial 16S ribosomal RNA". It matches the Rfam family "Bacterial small subunit ribosomal RNA", at positions 506 to 802 of the family's 1533-position model. The record is from RNAcentral.